GAGUGAACGCUGGCGGUAGGCCUAACACAUGCAAGUCGAACGGCAGCACAGUAAGAGCUUGCUCUUACGGGUGGCGAGUGGCGGACGGGUGAGGAAUACAUCGGAAUCUACUUUUUCGUGGGGGAUAACGUAGGGAAACUUACGCUAAUACCGCAUACGACCUACGGGUGAAAGCAGGGGAUCUUAGGACCUUGCGCGAUUGAAUGAGCCGAUGUCGGAUUAGCUAGUUGGCGGGGUAAAGGCCCACCAAGGCGACGAUCCGUAGCUGGUCUGAGAGGAUGAUCAGCCACACUGGAACUGAGACACGGUCCAGACUCCUACGGGAGGCAGCAGUGGGGAAUAUUGGACAAUGGGCGCAAGCCUGAUCCAGCCAUACCGCGUGGGUGAAGAAGGCCUUCGGGUUGUAAAGCCCUUUUGUUGGGAAAGAAAAGCAGCAGGUUAAUACCCCGCUGUUCUGACGGUACCCAAAGAAUAAGCACCGGCUAACUUCGUG
RNAcentral lists this ribosomal RNA (493 nucleotides) under uncultured bacterium. Its description in RNAcentral is "partial 16S ribosomal RNA". It matches the Rfam family "Bacterial small subunit ribosomal RNA", at positions 27 to 507 of the family's 1533-position model. The record is from RNAcentral.